CACUCCUACGGGAGGCAGCAGUGGGGAAUUUUGGACAAUGGGCGAAAGCCUGAUCCAGCAAUGCCGCGUGAGUGAAGAAGGCCUUCGGGUUGUAAAGCUCUUUUGUCAGGGAAGAAACGGUGAGAGCUAAUAUCUCUUGCUAAUGACGGUACCUGAAGAAUAAGCACCGGCUAACUACGUGCCAGCAGCCGCGGUAAUACGUAGGGUGCAAGCGUUAAUCGGAAUUACUGGGCGUAAAGCGUGCGCAGGCGGUUUUGUAAGUCUGAUGUGAAAUCCCCGGGCUCAACCUGGGAAUUGCAUUGGAGACUGCAAGGCUAGAAUCUGGCAGAGGGGGGUAGAAUUCCACGUGUAGCAGUGAAAUGCGUAGAUAUGUGGAGGAACACCGAUGGCGAAGGCAGCCCCCUGGGUCAAGAUUGACGCUCAUGCACGAAAGCGUGGGGAGCAAACAGGAUUAGAUACCCGUGUAGUCC
RNAcentral lists this ribosomal RNA (470 nucleotides) under uncultured organism. RNAcentral's name for it is "partial 16S ribosomal RNA". It matches the Rfam family "Bacterial small subunit ribosomal RNA", at positions 334 to 796 of the family's 1533-position model. The record is from RNAcentral.